This 279-nucleotide ribosomal RNA is filed under the name uncultured bacterium. Its description in RNAcentral is "partial 16S ribosomal RNA". It matches the Rfam family "Bacterial small subunit ribosomal RNA", at positions 335 to 630 of the family's 1533-position model. The record is from RNAcentral.
UUUCCUACGGGAGGCAGCAGUGGGGGAUAUUGCACAAUGGGGGGAACCCUGAUGCAGCGACGCCGCGUGGGUGAAGGAGCGUUUCGGCGCGUAAAACCCUAUCGGCAGGGAAGAAGGAGGACGGUACCUGACUAAGAAGCCCCGGCUAACUACGUGCCAGCAGCCGCGGUAAUACGUAGGGGGCAAGCGUUAUCCGGAUUUACUGGGGGUAAAGGGGGCGCAGACGGCAGCGCAAGCCCGGAGUGGAAGACCGGGGCCCCACCCCGGGACUGCUCUUGG